Molecule: long non-coding RNA, 486 nt
Filed under: Phoenix dactylifera (date palm)
Lineage: Eukaryota; Viridiplantae; Streptophyta; Magnoliopsida; Arecales; Arecaceae
Description: long non-coding RNA (PDAC_LNC014946)
Source: RNAcentral
GGUGCAGGAAAAGGACAUUCAAUUUUUUCAGUAGAUGUUGGUGCUUCAGUUUCUUCGUUAUCCUUUUCUUUUGUCUUUAAAGGGUCAGAAUCAGGUAUGGCUUGAGUUUGUUCUGGGACUGGUCGGUCAAUAAUCUUUCCGCUUCGCAAAGUUAUUAUACUCUUUGCUUGCUCUUUAUGCGAAGUUGAAGAUGAUGCAUUGCUACCGCCGUAGACUUGAGGGUUAGGUUGUGGUUGAGCUGGUAGCUUACCUUUCUCUUGAGCACUUAAAACAGUGGUCAGCGUUGUCAGUUGAUUUCUUAAUUCAUCAUUGAUUUUAGCUUGACCUUGCAUGAAAGAUUGUAAAGUUUCUUCGAGACUGGGUUUUUGAGGGGGUGCGUGUGCAUAAUGAGGUGGCGGAGGUGGAGGAGUUGGGUUAUAUACUUGUUGAGGUUGGUCAUUCCUCCACCUGAAAUUUGGAUGGUUCUUCCAUCCAGGGUUGUAAGUA